GGCUGGUUAGCUCUACCAGUUGAGCGUGGCGCUAACAACGUCAAGGUUGCGGGUUUAAUUCCUGUUCUGUCCC
This is a non-coding RNA of Apaloderma vittatum (bar-tailed trogon), 73 nucleotides long. The record is from Rfam. NCBI's taxonomy places the organism in Eukaryota, Metazoa, Chordata, Aves, Trogoniformes, Trogonidae.